Molecule: long non-coding RNA, 1212 nt
Filed under: Homo sapiens (human)
Lineage: Eukaryota; Metazoa; Chordata; Mammalia; Primates; Hominidae
Description: HSALNT0365352
Source: RNAcentral
AUGAAAUGCUUAUUUCUUUUUUAACAUAAGCAUUGACUGGAAAUAUUGGUUAUUCUGUCUGAUAUUACAUGAAGGUCAGAUGCCCUCCAUGCAACCAUGAGGUCGGAUGGCAGUUUGAUGCUGAACCAGCAAACAAGGUAAGGGUGAAAUUGUCAUCUGCAUUGUACAGAAUGCGAAGCCAAGGCCUCGAAACAGGAGAUAAUUUAGACAAGGUCACCUAGAGGGAUGCUGGAGGAACCGAGUUUGGAAAGCCAGCUAGCCUGACUGCCCAUUCAUCACGGACAUUAUCUUUCUUCUUGUCUUCCUGCUCAGCUUAGUUUAUUUAAAAGGGAAGCACACUGCAGUUCUAGGGUCAGGCCAGGCCCGCCUGGUGGCUCAGCACCUGCCUGCAAAGGUAAGAAAGCCUCUCCAGCCGAGGCUUGUGAAUGGUGUCAGGGAAGAGUCAGGUUCUCUUUGGAGAAGAGCCCGUUGGGAUCUUUGUUCCCAAACAGGUCCCAUUUCCUCAUGUUUAUUGAAUUCUCUCAAUCACAUACUUGAUCACUGGGUCCCAGGAAGGGGGGCUGGCUAAACUGAGAAAAUGCAAAGUUGAACUUUAUUUACUCUUGAUAAGAGGACCAAAAGGAAGUUAACUUUUUACCCAUUUUAUUCUCAAAGCUAUUGAAAGAAUUAUGAAAUCUACUCGAGAGCAAACGUGGAGGUUAUUCACAAAGGCGUUCAUAAUGAACUAAUUUGCGGAUCUUUUGCCCCUCUUUCACUUUCUGCAGAAAUGAGAAGGAUGACUUUUUUUCCUCUGUUUGUGGCUCUGCAGGCCGUCAGGGGACCCCACUCCUUUCUCCCUGCAGGCUUCCUCUGCCACUUGCUACUCCUUUGUACUCGUUCCACCUGGCAGUCUGAGGAACACAAACUAAAAUGCAGAACUGCCUCGAUGCGUUUGAGAACAUUCUGUCCUUAUUGUGAAUGCUGACUUGCUCCAAUCAACACAUUUCUUUAACUCCUUUAAAACCAGCUUGUUAGAGCUGUCUACAAUGCCGUGAGGUUCCAACUUCCUCUGAUUAAUUAGGAGGCUCAGAAAUGUCCUACUCAGCAUGAAACUAUGAGUAUAAAAACCUUUAUGAUGACCUACCUCCACUUGGAUCAAUGAAGAGAAGAAGAGUUGUGGACAUAGACACAUACAGAGAGAAGACCAUGUGAAGUCACAGGGAGAAGACAGCC